This 563-nucleotide ribosomal RNA is filed under the name Amauroascus aureus. RNAcentral's name for it is "bacterial SSU rRNA". It matches the Rfam family "Bacterial small subunit ribosomal RNA", at positions 377 to 938 of the family's 1533-position model. Lineage: Eukaryota; Fungi; Ascomycota; Eurotiomycetes; Onygenales; Onygenaceae. The record is from RNAcentral.
UAACGGCUGAACCAGCAACUAGGAAGAAUGAAAUUGUAUUAAAAAAAGUUUAAUACUAUAAUGCUUUUUACAUAUAAAAUUCUAAAUAGAUAAAAGAUAAUGACAAUUUUCUAUUUAUAAGUCUUGACCAAAUUACGUGCCAGCAGUCGCGGUAAUACGUAGAAGACUAGUGUUAGUCAUCUUUAUUAGGUUUAAAGGGUACCUAGACGGUAAAUUAAACCCGCUGAGGGUACUUAUUUACUAGAGUUAUAUAGGUGAAGGGGAGAAUUUUUGGAGUAGAAAUAAAAUUUAAUGAUACCAAAAGGACUGGUAACAGCGCAGGCAACCUUCUAUGUAAUAACUGACGUUGAGGGACGAAGGCUUGGGGAGCGAUAAGGAUUAGAUACCCUAGUAGUCCAAGCAGAGAAUUAUGAAUGCCAUAUGUUAAAAGAAAGUUUAGCAAAUAAGCUAACAAAAAACAAGAGAUUAGCGUAUAAAUGAAAGUGUAAGCAUUCCACCUCAAGAGUAAGAUGGCAACAUUGAAACUGAAAUCAUUAGACCGUUUCUGAAACCAGUAGUGAAGU